Long non-coding RNA from Betta splendens (Siamese fighting fish), 1235 nucleotides. RefSeq lists it as uncharacterized. The record is from RefSeq and is a predicted model, not a curated record. The transcript has 4 exons. Lineage: Eukaryota; Metazoa; Chordata; Actinopteri; Anabantiformes; Osphronemidae.
GCUGUUUGCUGGCGGGUACCUGAAGGCAUCACUGGUUGUGAAAGGAGUGGGAGGAAGGUGCUUCCAGGGGUCCAGAGCUCAUUUUGGGCCCAGUCCCCCGUGUGUUAUUCUGAUCGUGAGUCAGAUUGAAAAUUUAUGAAAAGCCUUUUAUGCCGUAAUAAUAAAUCUCUCCCAGUGCACUUUACGUCUGUUGCCAUGGAAAUGUCUGACAGGAAGCUUGUCUCUCCACUCAUCCUCCAUCCCUCUUUUAAUCCUUGUGUCUCCUGCAUCAGCAGGUUCAUGCUGUGUUCACGUAAACGGGCCCUGCAGGUUGUAAUCUUAUCGAUAUGAGGUUCAUUCUCCUCCACUCUGAUUUAUGAAGGUUAGUAAGUGAGGUAUUAAAUGCUGGUUUGGGAAGGGAAACUCAAGGGAAAGCUCAUGACAGAUGUUGGUUUAUGGAACCAUCACAGGUCUCGUUACUCUUGUUCCAUCAGGAGUGACAUUCCAUGUUGGCAUUUUGUCUUUUAAACAUUAAAGCUAAAAAUAGAGUCCAAGCUGAUUCUCUGGCCGACCUGUAACCAUAAACUACAUCCUGUCACCAUGCAGAGGCUGUCGUCAGGGUAACAGACAACAGGAUGACAUCAUCUCUACAAAUGUGUGUGCUUUGAACCUUGGUGACCUCUGGACCUCCGCUCAUCCUGAAGGGGGUGAACCCCUCCUUUCCCAGCAGCCUCUGUUCCUCCAGAGGACACUGUUGUCACCACAGACACAAAAUGUUCAUCCACACAAAUUACGGCUGAGUGUCACUUAGUAUUCAGAGCCUGUUCAGCCUGAUUUGUUCAAUUACACAGGACACAAGCCAUGUUCCUGAGGACACGCAAUGGCAAGAGGCCCAUCAUCCCACCUCCCGUGCCCAGAACCAGGAGCUCAAACGUGUCCUCACGCAGCGAGUCCACAGCUGCUCUGUCAUCAGCUGGGACUGGGUUAAAGCCAUGAUGUCACCGCUUCCUGUGACCUCACAGCAGACAUUUCUGCCGUCAGAGACCAACACAAAGCAGGAUGGGAGCACAUGUGAUGUGAAUUACCAGAGGCAGUGGGAGGUCAGAAUGUCCAGUGAACAACAUUUUCAAUGUGGAACAGAGCUGAAGAGGAGACAUGGAAGGAGUCUGAAGCCUGAGAACUGAUGGUUCAUUUGUUUUGUGAACUUUGUCUGUUUCUUGCUUAUUGUUGUUGUAUUGUUGAUCAUUAAAAAAACA